RNAcentral lists this long non-coding RNA (558 nucleotides) under Parus major (Great Tit). RNAcentral describes it as "lncRNA (ENSPMJG00000003583.1)". The record is from RNAcentral. Lineage: Eukaryota; Metazoa; Chordata; Aves; Passeriformes; Paridae.
GUGACAUUGUUCUACUCGCCAAACCUGUAACUUUAACAGAGGGUGACAGGGUGACCUUGACGACAGAUGUUCCUGUGGCAACAGAUGGCACGAGCAAACCCGAGAAGCUGCUGUAUGCCGUCUCCCUGCCACCUGUGCAUGGUCAGAUUGAGCACAUCAAUUAUCCCGGCGUGCCCAUUUCCAGUUACAGCCAGUUGGAUGUGGUGGCCCAGAAGGUCUCCGACGUCCACGACAAUAGCCAUGGGGCCGGUAAGGAGGCACUCAGGUACAGCAGUGGAACAGAUUUUCUCCAAAAUUCCUACAAUGGAUAAGCCCCACCACCCUGCAGGACCUGCGUGUUGGGUCAGUGUAGAACACCAGGAACCCCUCACAUUAGCAAGCCACUCACUUUCUCAGCAAAAAUCAGGAUCUCAGUUCCAGCCUCUUAGGGUUCAACACCUUCAUCCAGGUUUGAAUCAGCACAUCAUCUCAUACAUGGAAUCACAGAAUACCCUGAUUUGGAAGGUGCCCACAAGGAUCAUCAAGCUGAAAUCCUGGCCCUACACAGGACAUCCCUAA